CGAAAGCUAUUUAGGUAGCGCCUCGUGAAUUCAUCUCCGGGGGUAGAGCACUGUUUCGGCAAGGGGGUCAUCCCGACUUACCAACCCGAUGCAAACUGCGAAUACCGGAGAAUGUUAUCACGGGAGACACACGGCGGGUGCUAACGUCCGUCGUGAAGAGGGAAACAACCCAGACCGCCAGCUAAGGUCCCAAAGUCAUGGUUAAGUGGGAAACGAUGUGGGAAGGCCCAGACAGCCAGGAUGUUGGCUUAGAAGCAGCCAUCAUUUAAAGAAAGCGUAAUAGCUCACUGGUCGAGUCGGCCUGCGCGGAAGAUGUAACGGGGCUAAACCAUGCACCGAAGCUGCGGCAGCGACGCUGAUGCGUUGUUGGGUAGGGGAGCGUUCUGUAAGCCUGCGAAGGUGUGCUGUGAGGCAUGCUGGAGGUAUCAGAAGUGCGAAUGCUGACAUAAGUAACGAUAAAGCGGGUGAAAAGCCCGCUCGCCGGAAGACCAAGGGUUCCUGUCCAACGUUAAUCGGGGCAGGGUGAGUCGACCCCUAAGGCGAGGCCGAAAGGCGUAGUCGAUGGGAAACAGGUUAAUAUUCCUGUACUUGGUGUUACUGCGAAGGGGGGACGGAGAAGGCUAUGUUGGCCGGGCGACGGUUGUCCCGGUUUAAGCGUGUAGGCUGGUUUUCCAGGCAAAUCCGGAAAAUCAAGGCUGAGGCGUGAUGACGAGGCACU
Molecule: ribosomal RNA, 718 nt
Filed under: Escherichia coli
Lineage: Bacteria; Pseudomonadati; Pseudomonadota; Gammaproteobacteria; Enterobacterales; Enterobacteriaceae
Description: partial 23S ribosomal RNA
Rfam family: Bacterial large subunit ribosomal RNA
Source: RNAcentral